AAAGAACUUAAUGCGUUAAAGAGGCGNGGUAAGUUUGAUAAGUACCCAANGAGNNGGGACGCUACUUCGUGCCAGCAGCGCGUAAUACGAAGGUCCCAAGCGUUGUUCGAAUAACUGGGCGUAAAGCGUNNNUUAGGCUGCGCGGAAAGUCAAAUGUGAAAGCCAAGGGCUCAACCCUUGAACUGCAUUCGAUACUCCCGUGCUAGAGUAAUGGAGAGGUAAGUGGAAUUCUCGGUGUAGCAGUGAAAUGCGUAGAUAUCGAGAGGAACAUCAAUGGCGAAGGCAACUUACUGGACAUUUACUGACGCUCAGACACGAAGGCUAGGGGAGCGAAAGGGAUUAGAUACCCCUGUAGUCCUAGCAGUAAACGGUGCUCGCUUGGUGUGGGAGGAUUCGACCCCUUCUGUGCCGGAGCUAACGCGUUAAGCGAGCCGCCUGGGAAGUACGGUCGCAAGACUAAAACUCAAAGAAAUUGACGGGGACCCGCACAAGCGGUGGAGUAUGUGGCUUAAUUCGAUGCAACGCGAAGAACCUUACCUAGGCUUGACAUGCUCAUCAUACCCUCCCGAAAAGGAGGGGUCGGUUCGGCCGGAUGAUGCACAGGUGCUGCAUGGCCGUCGUCAGCUCGUGUCGUGAGAUGUUUGGUUAAGUCCAGCAACGAGCGCAACCCCUGUGAACUGUUGCCAGCGGAUAAUGCCGGGGACUCUGUUCAGACUGCCCAGAUCAACUGGGAGGAAGGUGGGGACGACGUCAGGUCAGUAUGGCCCUUACGCCUAGGGCUGCACACGUACUACAAUGCCCAGCACAAUGAGAACCGAGACCGCGAGGUGGAGGAAAUCUAUAAAACUGGGCCCAGUUCGGAUUGGAGACUGCAACUCGUCUCCAUGAAGUCGGAAUCGCUAGUAAUGCCGUAUCAGCUACGACGGCGUGAAUACGUUCCCGGGUCUUGUACACACCGCCCGUCACAUCAUGGAAGCCGGUCGCACCCGAAGUAUCUGCGCUAACUUUCGAGAAGCAGGAUCCUAAGGUGAGGCUGGUAACUGGGAUGAAGUCGUAACAAGGUAGCCGUA
Molecule: ribosomal RNA, 1070 nt
Filed under: uncultured bacterium
Lineage: Bacteria
Description: bacterial SSU rRNA
Rfam family: Bacterial small subunit ribosomal RNA
Source: RNAcentral